CAGUCGCCGCGGUAAUACGUAGGUGGCAAGCGUUGUCCGGAAUUAUUGGGCGUAAAGGGCUCGCAGGUGGUUUCUUAAGUCUGAUGUGAAAGCCCCCGGCUCAACCGGGGAGGGUCAUUGGAAACUGGGAAACUUGAGUGCAGAAGAGGAGAGUGGAAUUCCACGUGUAGCGGUGAAAUGCGUAGAGAUGUGGAGGAACACCAGUGGCGAAGGCGACUCUCUGGUCUGUAACUGACGCUGAGGAGCGAAAGCGCGGGGAGCGAACAGGAUUAGAGACCCCCGUAGUCCCUGUCUCUUAUAC
This 301-nucleotide ribosomal RNA is filed under the name uncultured bacterium. RNAcentral describes it as "partial 16S ribosomal RNA". It matches the Rfam family "Bacterial small subunit ribosomal RNA", at positions 509 to 807 of the family's 1533-position model. The record is from RNAcentral.